Molecule: microRNA precursor, 79 nt
Filed under: Lotus japonicus
Lineage: Eukaryota; Viridiplantae; Streptophyta; Magnoliopsida; Fabales; Fabaceae
Description: miR7536a stem-loop (lja-MIR7536a, lja-MIR7536b)
Source: miRBase by way of RNAcentral
UACUUUAGAGUGAUGUCUUUGCAGGGGAAAAGAUGUUGUUGGUUUUUGAGCCUGGUAAUUUAAGACAUGCUCAAGAGUG